GAAACGGAUAGAAAAGUAUUUCCUCCAUAUUAUGUACGUUGUAGUUAUUUGGAGAUAUAUCACAUAAUCUUUAAACUGAAUCUUCCCCUCUCUUAACAUCAUGUGUUAACAUGUUUAAAAAGACAGACCUCAGUAGUUUGCAGACUGGACCUUAAUUGGACUUGUUUUCUUUGAAAGUACUUUGUUAUAAAUUCAGUCAGUAAUAUUUAUGUGGAUUUUUCCCCCAUUAUCACAGAAAACAGAUAGUUAACUGAUGAUAGAGAUAAUGCUUUAUUUCCUUAGCUUGAUUUUUGGAAAAUCAAUUGAAAAUAGUUUUGGCCGUCUUUUCUAAAUAUUAGAAAUUCUUCAACAGUUAAAUUAGGUAAGUUCCAAAAACAGAAUCUGAGAGGCAUCUCAGAUCUUUAUUACCACUACAUUGUAGUAGUGGGUAUGCAGACAAUCAGUGAGAUCCAAUUACUUUCUCCAUUUGGAGACGCAGAAGGAACUUAGAGCUAAACCUUAGGUUAAAUU
Molecule: long non-coding RNA, 510 nt
Filed under: Bos taurus (domestic cattle)
Lineage: Eukaryota; Metazoa; Chordata; Mammalia; Artiodactyla; Bovidae
Description: long non-coding RNA NONBTAT019384
Source: RNAcentral